RNAcentral lists this ribosomal RNA (468 nucleotides) under uncultured bacterium. RNAcentral's name for it is "partial 16S ribosomal RNA". It matches the Rfam family "Bacterial small subunit ribosomal RNA", at positions 28 to 507 of the family's 1533-position model. The record is from RNAcentral.
GACGAACGCUGGCGGCGUGCUUAACACAUGCAAGUCGAACGGAAAGGCCCGGCUUUUGUGGGGUGCUCCAGUGGCGAACGGGUGAGAAAUGCGUGAGUAACCUGCCCUUGACUUUGGGAUCUCGUCAGGAAACUGGGGCUAAUACCGCUUAGGAGCUCCUGCUGCACGGUGGGGGUUGGGAGGUUUCGGCGGUUGGGGAUGUACUCGGGGCUUAUCAGCUUGUCGGUGGGCUAGUGGCUUACGUAGGCGUUGACGGGUGGCCGGCCUGAGAGGGGGGCCGGCCACAUGGGGACGGAGCUACGGCCCAGCCUCCUACGGGAGGCAGUAGCGGGGAGCAUUGCACACUGGGCGGAAGCCUGAGGCAGGCACGCCGGGUGAGGGAUGACGGCCUUCGGGCUGUAAACCGCUUGCGCCCGUGACGAAGCGUGAGUGACGGUAGUGGGAAAAGAAGCACCGGCUAACUACGUG